GACGAACGCUGGCGGCGUGCUUAACACAUACAAGUCGAACGGAAAGGCCCUGCUUUUGUGGGGUGCUCGAGUGGCGAACGGGUGAGUAACACGUGAGUAACCUGCCCUUGACUUUGGGAUAACUUCAGGAAACUGGGGCUAAUACCGGAUAGGAGCUCCUGCUGCAUGGUGGGGGUUGGAAAGUUUCGGCGGUUGGGGAUGGACUCGCGGCUUAUCAGCUUGUUGGUGGGGUAGUGGCUUACCAAGGCUUUGACGGGUAGCCGGCCUGAGAGGGUGACCGGCCACAUGGGGACUGAGAUACGGCCCAGACUCCUACGGGGGGCAGCAGUGGGGAAUAUUGCACAAUGGGCGGAAGCCUGAUGCAGCAACGCCGCGUGCGGGAUGACGGCCUUCGGGUUGUAAACCGCUUUCGCCUGUGACGAAGCGUGAGUGACGGUAAUGGGUAAAGAAGCACCGGCUAACUACGUG
Molecule: ribosomal RNA, 468 nt
Filed under: uncultured bacterium
Lineage: Bacteria
Description: partial 16S ribosomal RNA
Rfam family: Bacterial small subunit ribosomal RNA
Source: RNAcentral